RNAcentral lists this ribosomal RNA (450 nucleotides) under uncultured bacterium. RNAcentral's name for it is "bacterial SSU rRNA". It matches the Rfam family "Bacterial small subunit ribosomal RNA", at positions 354 to 796 of the family's 1533-position model. The record is from RNAcentral.
GUGGGGAAUAUUGGACAAUGGGCGAAAGCCUGAUCCAGCCAUGCCGCGUGUGUGAAGAAGGUCUUCGGAUUGUAAAGCACUUUAAGUUGGGAGGAAGGGCAGUAAGUUAAUACCUUGCUGUUUUGACGUUACCGACAGAAUAAGCACCGGCUAACUUCGUGCCAGCAGCCGCGGUAAUACGAAGGGUGCAAGCGUUAAUCGGAAUUACUGGGCGUAAAGCGCGCGUAGGUGGUUUUGUAAGUUGGAGGUGAAAUACCCGGGCUCAACCUGGGAACUGCCGACAAAAAUGCAUGACUAGAGUACGGUAGAUGGUAGUUGAAUUUCCUGUGUAGCGGUGAAAUGCGUAGAUAUAGGAAGGAACACCAGUGGCGAAGGCGACUACCUGGACUGAUACUGACACUGAGGUGCGAAAGCGUGGGGAGCAAACAGGAUUAGAUACCCCGGUAGUCC